RNAcentral lists this ribosomal RNA (253 nucleotides) under uncultured bacterium. Its description in RNAcentral is "partial 16S ribosomal RNA". It matches the Rfam family "Bacterial small subunit ribosomal RNA", at positions 524 to 776 of the family's 1533-position model. The record is from RNAcentral.
CACGUAGGGGGCGAGCGUUGUCCGGAUUCAUUGGGCGUAAAGCGCGCGCAGGCGGCUCGGAAAGUCGGGUGUGAAAACUCGGGGCUCAACCCCGGGCGUGCAUCCGAUACUGCCGGGCUUGAGGCAGGUAGGGGAGAUCGGAAUUCCUGGUGUAGCGGUGAAAUGCGCAGAUAUCAGGAAGAACACCCGUGGCAAAGGCGGCUCUCUGGGACGGUACUGACGCUGAGACGCGAAAGCGUGGGGAGCGAACAGG